GGGCCCGUGGCGGAACUGGCAGACGCAGCGGACUUAAAAUCCGCUUCCGCGAGAGCGGAGUGAGGGUUCAAGUCCCUCCGGGCCCA
This 86-nucleotide transfer RNA is filed under the name hydrothermal vent metagenome. RNAcentral's name for it is "tRNA-Leu-TAA". It matches the Rfam family "tRNA". Rfam says of the family: Transfer RNA (tRNA) molecules are approximately 80 nucleotides in length. The record is from RNAcentral.